This 305-nucleotide ribosomal RNA is filed under the name uncultured bacterium. RNAcentral describes it as "bacterial SSU rRNA". It matches the Rfam family "Bacterial small subunit ribosomal RNA", at positions 333 to 655 of the family's 1533-position model. The record is from RNAcentral.
AGGGACCUACGGGGCGCAGCAGUGGGGAAUAUUGCACAAUGGGGGAAACCCUGAUGCAGCAACGCCGCGUGAGUGAAGAAGUAUUUCGGUAUGUAAAGCUCUAUCAGCAGGGAAGAAAAUGACGGUACCUGAGUAAGAAGCCCCGGCUAACUACGUGCCAGCAGCCGCGGUAAUACGUAGGGGGCAAGCGUUAUCCGGAUUUACUGGGUGUAAAGGGAGCGUAGACGGUAUGGCAAGUCUGAUGUGAAAACCCGGGGCUCAACCCCGGGACUGCAUUGGAAACUGUCGGACUAGAGUGUCGGAGA